This 1382-nucleotide ribosomal RNA is filed under the name uncultured bacterium. RNAcentral describes it as "bacterial SSU rRNA". It matches the Rfam family "Bacterial small subunit ribosomal RNA". The record is from RNAcentral.
GAAUUCGCCCUUAGAGUUUGAUCCUGGCUCAGGACGAACGCUGGCGGCGCGCCUAACACAUGCAAGUCGAACGAGCGAGAGAGAGCUUGCUUUCUCGAGCGAGUGGCGAACGGGUGAGUAACGCGUGAGGAACCUGCCUCAAAGAGGGGGACAACAGUUGGAAACGACUGCUAAUACCGCAUAAGCCCACAGGUCGGCAUCGACCAGUGGGAAAAGGAGCAAUCCGCUUUGAGAUGGCCUCGCGUCCGAUUAGCUAGAUGGUGAGGUAAUGGCCCACCAAGGCGACGAUCGGUAGCCGGACUGAGAGGUUGAACGGCCACAUUGGGACUGAGACACGGCCCAGACUCCUACGGGAGGCAGCAGUGGGGAAUAUUGCACAAUGGGGGAAACCCUGAUGCAGCGACGCCGCGUGGAGGAAGAAGGUCUUCGGAUUGUAAACUCCUGUUGUUGAGGAAGAUAAUGACGGUACUCAACAAGGAAGUGACGGCUAACUACGUGCCAGCAGCCGCGGUAAAACGUAGGUCACAAGCGUUGUCCGGAAUUACUGGGUGUAAAGGGAGCGCAGGCGGGAAGACAAGUUGGAAGUGAAAUCUAUGGGCUCAACCCAUAAACUGCUUUCAAAACUGUUUUUCUUGAGUAGUGCAGAGGUAGGCGGAAUUCCCGGUGUAGCGGUGGAAUGCGUAGAUAUCGGGAGGAACACCAGUGGCGAAGGCGGCCUACUGGGCACCAACUGACGCUGAGGCUCGAAAGUGUGGGUAGCAAACAGGAUUAGAUACCCUGGUAGUCCACACCGUAAACGAUGAUUACUAGGUGUUGGAGGAUUGACCCCUUCAGUGCCGCAGUUAACACAAUAAAGUAAUCCACCUGGGGAGUACGACCGCAAGGUUGAAACUCAAAGGAAUUGACGGGGGCCCGCACAAGCAGUGGAGUAUGUGGUUUAAUUCGACGCAACGCGAAGAACCUUACCAAGUCUUGACAUCCUGCGACGAUGCUGGAAACAGUAUUUUCCUUCGGGACGCAGAGACAGGUGGUGCAUGGCUGUCGUCAGCUCGUGUCGUGAGAUGUUGGGUUAAGUCCCGCAACGAGCGCAACCCUUACUGUCAGUUGCUACGCAAGAGCACUCUAGCAGGACUGCCGUUGACAAAACGGAGGAAGGUGGGGAUGACGUCAAAUCAUCAUGCCCCUUAUGACCUGGGCCUCACACGUACUACAAUGGCUGUUAACAGAGGGAUGCAAAGCCGCGAGGUGGAGCGAACCCCUAAAAGCAGUCUUAGUUCGGAUUGUAGGCUGCAACCCGCCUACAUGAAGUCGGAAUUGCUAGUAAUCGCGGAUCAGCAUGCCGCGGUGAAUGCGUUCCCGGGCCUUGCACUCACCGCCCGUCA